UGGGGGAUAUUGCACAAUGGGCGAAAGCCUGAUGCAGCGAUGCCGCGUGGGGGAUGAAGGCCUUCGGGUUGUAAACUUCUUUUGCUCUGAACAAGGCAUGCUAAUGGGUGUGUUGAGUGUAGGGGUUGAUUAGCGCCGGCUAACUACGUGCCAGCAGCCGCGGUAAUACGUAGGGCGCGAGCGUUGUCCGGAAUUAUUGGGCGUAAAGGGCUUGUAGGUGGCUGGUUGCGUCUGUCGUGAAAGCUCAUGGCUUAACUGUGGGUUUGCGGUGGGUACGGGCUGGCUUGAGUGCAGUAGGGGGGGCUGGAAUUCCUGGUGUAGCGGUGGAAUGCGCAGAUAUCAGGAGGAAUACCGGUGGCGAAGGCGGGUCUCUGGGCUGUUACUGACACUGAGGAGCGAAAGCAUGGGGAGCGAACAGG
This 419-nucleotide ribosomal RNA is filed under the name bacterium. RNAcentral describes it as "partial 16S ribosomal RNA". It matches the Rfam family "Bacterial small subunit ribosomal RNA", at positions 355 to 776 of the family's 1533-position model. The record is from RNAcentral.